GAACCGUGCAAACGUUGUUCGGAAUCACUGGGCUUAAAGGGCGCGUAGGCGGGGGACCAAGUCCGGGGUGAAAUCUUUCGGCUCAACCGGAAAACUGCCUUGGAUACUGGUCUUCUUGAGGGAGGUAGGGGCAGGUGGAACUUCCGGUGGAGCGGUGAAAUGCGUUGAUAUCGGAAGGAACGCCGGUGGCGAAAGCGGCCUGCUGGAUCUCUUCUGACGCUGAUGCGCGAAAGCUAGGGUAGCGAACGGGAUUAGAUACCCCGGUAGUCCUAGCCCUAAACGAUGGGUACUAGGUUGCGGACUUGACAUGGGUUCGCAGCCGAAGCAAAAGUGUUAAGUACCCCGCCUGGGGAGUAUGGUCGCAAGGCUGAA
RNAcentral lists this ribosomal RNA (372 nucleotides) under uncultured bacterium. RNAcentral describes it as "bacterial SSU rRNA". It matches the Rfam family "Bacterial small subunit ribosomal RNA", at positions 527 to 898 of the family's 1533-position model. The record is from RNAcentral.